Molecule: long non-coding RNA, 4967 nt
Organism: Lolium rigidum
Lineage: Eukaryota; Viridiplantae; Streptophyta; Magnoliopsida; Poales; Poaceae
Exons: 3
Source: RefSeq, a predicted model, not a curated record
UUUCCGGCUCCUGUUUAUGUGGUUCAAAAGCUUUUUCUCCUCAACUCAUUUUUCUGUGGCAAAAUGAUGGUGAUGUGGGAUGUAGGGCUUCUCCUAAUCGUCUUCCUCCUCUACUCAGUGGAGAUAUGUUGCUUCCUCCUCUAAUCAAUCGAGAUCUGUUGCUUCCUCUUGUUUUCCGGCUCUCGUUUAUGUGGUUCCAGAGCCAUUUCUCUUCAACUCAUUUUUCUAUGGCAAAAUGAUGGUGAUGUGGGCUGGCCAUUAUGCCGGUUGAGCAGGAGGCAAGAUUCUGAGAGCGGUAAUGGCGGGUGCGUGUGGGGAUCCGAUGCUGAUAGAGAUAAUUUCUACAGAGCACAACCGCCCUGGCCGUGCGAACAGAGACCUCGAUGUUCAAGGUGAAGCGGAAGUGCUCGGCUCCGGAAGAAGAGACAUCGGUAGGCAACACAGCAAGUGAAGCAAACCUUCUGUAGAGGCUGUCCUCUCGGUCAACGCCACUCAUCGUCACACAUGUAAGGUAAACAUGCUCUGCUGUGUUAUGUAUAGAAUCGAUGCAGCUAGCGAUGUCCCAUCAAACCAAAUCCAGAUGUUUUCGAUGGAACGGCAUAUACACAAAAGGACAUGGGAUGCACAAGUGGAACUACUGACCACAUCAUAUUAUGGAACAAAACGCUGAUGAAAAUAACUAACAUAACUGCACUAUAUGUAGAUAGUGUUUUCUAAAGAUGCAUCAACUCUUGCAGGUUUCUUAAGCAUUCAAUAUUUGCAGCUAUCAUCGGUAGAUAUCUGAACUUAGCUGUCUGAGCAUCACCUGGGUCCUCCAAUUAGGCUUGAACAGUCAGUUCCUAAGCCCUGCAGUUAAUUUAAAUAAGCAAUGCUUACUCUGUGCAUACCUAUGGAAAUCGUUGCAUCAAUCGGUAUCCAGAAACCUACCAUAGCAGCACUUGGGAAACAUUACCCUCUAGAAUAGCGGCAACCUGGAAAACAGAAAACAAUGAAAGGUAGAGUAACACAAGGCAGAAAAAUGAGCCACUGAAUGUGAUGUAACUUCACCUAACCUAAGCUGCAUUCGUAACUCCAUCAACUGCCAGAAUCAACCUUAAUGACACAUAUUCACAGUUCAUGCCGGCAAAUAGUAAAAAUGAAUUUCCUGCAUAUAGUCAUGCACUCCUGCUCCUGGAUAAUUGCCAAAUAAUCAGUUGCUGCAUCGUGUAAGGCAACAAAAAAUAAUACUCUGGAUAAUUCAUAAAAACUCAACACAGAAAUAGGGCCAUAAAGAGAAAAUAUAACCAGCCUAAGCAUGGUCUGACCUACAAUAACCUUGAUUUAAACUGAAAGGCAAGCAUAUCUAUGUUGGCAGAUAAGGUGUCUGCAUAACAUCUUACUUGCAACAGCUAAUAGCACAGAAUAGGGACACAUGUAGAACUACAUAGCUGAGCUUCAGUGCAUGUAACAUGUAGUAAUAGAAAGUACAGGUUUUAUAGUAAUCCACUGUUGAAAGGUCAGGUGUCUCCCUGCGCUGGCACUGCUGGCGAGAGUUCACCUUGCAACUCAGGAGAAUCCAAUUAUUCCCUCUGCCGUCGUGGACGCAGAGUAGGAGGCGGCAGCUAAUCAUCUAGCUCAGUGAUCUUCUCCUUAUCAUCCCCAUUGGCACCAAAUAUAUUCUUUAUAUGAUAAAAUUCGUUUUUUGUAUCAUAAAUAUAUAUCUGAGCAUUCUUGGGAGUAGAAAUGUAGGGUCAUCAUCUCGAGGAAGCAAAUAAAUAGUCUUGUGAGCGGCUACCCCAUAAAUUUUGAAAACAUAUGGACCAAUUUGCAAUAUUAACACUCCUGUGAAGGUGAACACCGGUAGAUGUAAAAGGAAACAUGCAAUGAGGGGUAAUAAGCAUUCAUAUGAUUAGUGUAGAAUGCUAAACUCUUAUUUUUCUCUCAGAAUACUGAAAGUCCCCGACAUCCAGAAUUGUUAAAAGUGUUGUUUCGGGUACAAAGAUGACAAACUACACAGCGAAAACGGCACUCGAUGUGAGAAUCAAGCACAAGCUAAUUCUAGAGUCCUUUUUUGUUGCAAAUUUGUUUGAGAAAAAAGGGGUGUACCCAGGAAGAGUAAAAAAAAUCUCAGCCUGGUAUUUUAUUACAGAUGCAUGGUAGAGAUACUCAACACUUCAGAUAGUAUAAGAGUAAAUGAUCAUAAUUGUAAUAAACAUAGUACCUCGCGAUAAUGAUGAUGAAGUCUAGUUCACAUCGACAGGUGUAGGAAGAGAACUCGAAUCAAGAUGUCACCCAACAGAAGAAUCCAGCAGAACACUGCACAACACACAUUAAGGUCUUGGAAAAAUGGCAGAAGUAAAUAGAAUAAGUUAAAUAGCAACGGUAAAAGCAUCAAGAAGUAAUUUGGUGUAUAGUUCCGUAAAAAUGUUGUGUAGAAUUUGCUAACAAAUGAAAAAAAAUAAAAAAAAUAGGAACACAAAAGGUGCGAAACUCAUUAACUAUUACAGAAAUAACCCUCAUGGUGCAGUCUAGAAACUGCUCUAUGUUUCUGAAAUAAAGGGAUGGGGACAAAAACCAUACUGGUAACUCAACAGCUAUUGCAGACAUAACCCUCAUGGUGCAGCCUAGAAACUGCUCUUAUGUUCCUGAAAUAAAGGGAUGGAGACACAAACCAUACUUGAAGAUAAAUUCAUAGGUGCCCAGCAAGUAGUUUUGUAUAGUGUAUAAACCUCGACGAAAACAAUGACAAUAGAAGCUUGUUGUUCAGAACAGGCCAGAUUUAUCUUCCAGCAGGCAUACAAUAGGCAUGUUCAAUGUUUUAACCUUUGAGCCUGUUGUUGACCUCUGAAACUCAAAAAUAUUGAAUUUCUCAUGUCAACAAUGCAACACAGGCAGAUAAAAAUACUCUGCUAGUCAUAAAAAUCCCAUUAGAUAACCUGCAAGGCAACAGUUUCAAACUAUACAAUAGAGAAUUUCUCAUUAUAAAAAACAUAACAUGGAUGUAAACCACCAUUUGAAAUAUACUAACUGGUCCUGCUGAACCUCUUCCUUUUAAAGCCUUAUAAUUGAAAAUUAUACCUUGAUUCAAAAAAGGCAUCACCGUAACUCAUUCUGAUACCUUGACAGUUCUUUACAUGUGAAUGGUGUAGCACUACCAUAUUCUUUUACAACAGAUUCGUGAACUCUUUAGCCUCUAAUCCAUGCUUUGGAAGUUCUAUCUAAAAAGAGUAGCAAGAUGGGGAUGGAGUGCUUGCUCACCAGCAUUAGGAAGAUGUAGUCGCCCUUGGGUGUGCAGGAGGAGAGGCAGCAGCGCCGCAGCUCAUCUAGAAAAUUGAGGAGGAGCACCUACAGUAGGAGGAUGUAAAAAAUGUGAGAAUUCAGUUAGCUAGCCAAGUGAACCAUUGUUCAUAUCCACUACAGCACACCUGAAUGAUACUCCCUCCGUUCCCUAUUAAUUGACUCUGAUUGCGUACAAAGUUGUACUAAAUCAGAGUCAAUUAAUAGGAACAGAAGGAGUAUAUUAUAAAAAUAAUGCAUUCUACUCAUUUGAUUGUGCAGAUCAAGCCAUGUUAUGGCAAGAGUCUCCCCUACAGUUCAACGGCAACAAUUGUGCAACAUAAGAACAGACAGGAGGAGGGAUUCAAUACACAUCGCAUAUGCUGAAGGAUUUCUAGAUCAAAACACAAAUAAGGAACGGCGGAGGCAAGUUGGAGGAGUAGGAGAGUGGCAGCCACAAGUUUAUUCUCCACCGGAGGCAGGCCUUCUCCGUAUGCCAGUGCUUCAUGUCCAUGUUGUCACCUGCAGCAAAGUGGAGAAAAGUGGCAGUGCUUCCUGUACAUGUUGUCACCUGCAGCAAAGUGGAGAAAAGUGGCCGCGGGUGCAAGAUUUGAUGACCUGCAGGCAGCUGCUUGCCAUUUUGGCGAACGCAACCGCAUGGAAACGUGGCCAAGUCGUGGCCCGCCGCCUCAAUCCCUGGAGCAAGGUCCUCAUCCAUAUGCACAUGGUCGAGCACCCGCCUGCUCAUAGUCCUCGUCCAGAUGCCCCUGCUUGCUCGAUGCAAAGGUGCAGGAGGCUAGAUAGAAGGAGGCCUACCUCCCGGGCAGCCGUGGGUAUGGUCACCACCAGGGUGUGCACUCGUCAAGAGGGCCUGAUGAUGUGCAAUGAGAAAAACCACCAGGGUGUGAAUUACAGGGAUAAAACACAGAAAACAAACUAGAGGGAGCGGCGCUGGGCAUGAUCACCAUCAGGAUGUGGACUCGCCAAGAAGGCCUGAUGAUCUGUAAUGAGAAAAAACCCAUCAAGAUGUGAUACAGUGAACAAACCAGAGGGAAGAGGCGCAUCGACCUGGACAUCGUUGAAGUGCCUGAGGCCUGCGUAGCGUACGCCGGGAGGAGGCGGGACCACAGCAGCAAGGCACGAUCACCACUCCAUCCGGCUGCUCCGCGCGUCCUCUCCUGUUGGCGUCAGCAUCUUCCUCGGCCUGUUGGCACAACUCUCAGAGGAGCAACGGCUGGGAAGAGCGGCUCCUAGGAGGGUGCAGGUGGAGGUGGAAAUCAUCCAGGAGGGGGCGAUGAAUGGAGAUCGGCUAGGGAGGGAGGCGGUGGAGGAAUGAUGGAGAAGUGUGGAGAGAGAAAAUUCUAGAGACCCGAUCGUAUCGUGGGCAAGUAGCACCGCUUUCACCGCUUUGAUCGAGUCUAAAAAGUAAAUCGGAAAACCGGAGAUUAACGGGACCCAUCGAUGAAGCAAUGCGCAGGAACCGGAAACAAUCGGGAUAAACGUUCCCGGAGAAGAAGGAUCUACCGGUGGAUCCAGCCUGCUCCCGGUAAAUAGGAACUAUAUAAGGGAAAUAAAAGAAAAGAAAACGAAAUAGACUCCCGCUGGAGUAACACGUGAACAGUAAAAACCGGACGUGUCAAUGCCUGAUUGGAUAGACGGAGGACGAAUCAGGGGUUUGGAAGCACGAGCAGCGUUCCCGUUCAGUACAAGUG